UGGAGAAUUUUGCACAAUGGGGGAAACCCUGAUGCAGCGACGCCGCGUGAUUUAGAAGGCCUUCGGGUUGUAAAAAUCUUUUCUAUGGGAAGAAAAUGACAGUACCAUAGGAAUAAGGACCGGCUAAUUACGUGCCAGCAGCCGCGGUAAUACGUAAGGUCCGAGCGUUGUCCGGAAUCAUUGGGCGUAAAGGGUACGCAGGCGGGUAAGCAAGUUAGAAGUGAAAUCCUAUAGCUCAACUAUAGUAAGCUUUUAAAACUGCUCAUCUUGAGGUAUGGAAGGGAAAGUGGAAUUCCUAGUGUAGCGGUGAAAUGCGCAGAUAUUAGGAGGAAUACCGGUGGCGAAGGCGACUUUCUGGCCAUAACCUGACGCUGAGGUACGAAAGCGUGGGUAGCAAACAGG
RNAcentral lists this ribosomal RNA (402 nucleotides) under bacterium. RNAcentral describes it as "partial 16S ribosomal RNA". It matches the Rfam family "Bacterial small subunit ribosomal RNA", at positions 355 to 776 of the family's 1533-position model. The record is from RNAcentral.